This 391-nucleotide unclassified non-coding RNA is filed under the name soil metagenome. Its description in RNAcentral is "partial contains 5.8S ribosomal RNA, internal transcribed spacer 2, and large subunit ribosomal RNA". The stretch from base 1 to 122 matches the Rfam family "5.8S ribosomal RNA", at positions 35 to 154 of the family's 154-position model. The record is from RNAcentral.
GAUGAAGAACGUAGCGAAAUGCGAUACUUGGUGUGAAUUGCAGAAUCCCGUGAACCAUCGAGUCUUUGAACGCAAGUUGCGCCCGAAGCCACUAGGCCGAGGGCACGCCUGCCUGGGCGUCACACGCCGUUGCCCCCCCAUCUACUCCUUCGGGAUUGCGGGGGGGCGGAUGAUGGCCUCCCGUGCGCCUAGCCGCGCGGUUGGCAUAAAUACCAAGUCCUCGGCGACGCACGUCACGACAAUCGGUGGUUGCGAAACCUCGGUUGCCCGUCGUGUGCGUUCGUCGCGCAUCGAGGGCUCGAAAAAAUGCUCGGCUCCGGCUGGGCUUUCAACGCGACCCCAGGUCAGGCGGGGUUACCCGCUGAAUUUAAGCAUAUCAAUAAGCGGAGGA